Molecule: long non-coding RNA, 529 nt
Organism: Sander lucioperca (pikeperch)
Lineage: Eukaryota; Metazoa; Chordata; Actinopteri; Perciformes; Percidae
Exons: 3
Source: RefSeq, a predicted model, not a curated record
UUUUUUUUUUUUUAAGGACGGAGUUUGAGUCUCAGGCAGCGUCUGUCAGAGACAAGAAAAAAGCAAAAACUUUGCACGUUUGAGCUUUAACAGCAUGUCAAGUUAAUCACCCGUUUUAUUUCCCAUCAGCCCCUCCAGCGUCUGACAUGACGUCACUGCCUGUCAUCUUCUGUUCUGCAUUUCAUCUUUUAUCUUUUCUAUUUUAGUUUUUUUUUACACUUGAGUCACGUUUGGUUUUUGCUCGCCGCUGCGGCAGACGCUCUGCGGGGUUCCUGCUCCGCCGCUGGGUGGGGGCGCUUCAUUCAUCCACCCUGAUGAAUCCUGGUUGACCUUCCUAUGGCUGCAUUUUGGUGACCAUUUUUGCAUUUUUGACCCUUUUCGUUUCACCUUCAUUUCAUGAGGGCGAAGCUCACAGCGGUCGUUUUUUUCUACCUACGCUGUAAAACAUCUCAGUCUCCGGUCGGUUCUGUCUGGACAGGAACCUAAAACCAUUAUCGUUAACCAUCAUGUUGUACUUUUGUCAACAUUU